CCUACGGGGAGCAGCAGUGGGGAAUAUUGGACAAUGGGGGGAACCCUGAUCCAGCGACGCCGCGGGAGUGAAGAAGGAGUUCGGUAGGUAAAGCUCUAUCAGCAGGGAAGAAAAGGACGGUACCUGAAUAAGAAGCCCCGGCUAACGACGUGGCAGCAGCCGCGGUAAUACGUAGUGGGCAAGCGUUAUCCGGAUUUACUGGGUGUCAAGGGAGCGUAGACGGUGCCGCAAGUCUGAUGUGAAAGGUCGGGGCCCAACCCCGGGACUGCAUUGGAAACGGUUGAACUGGAGUACAGGAGAGGUCAGCGGUAUUCCUUGUGUCGCGGUUACAUGCGUAGCUAUUAGGAGGAACACCAGUGGCGCCGGCGGCUUACUGGACUGUAACUGACGUUGAGGCUCGACAGCCUGGGGCGCAAACAGGAUUAGAUACCCCUGUAGUC
Molecule: ribosomal RNA, 440 nt
Filed under: uncultured bacterium
Lineage: Bacteria
Description: partial 16S ribosomal RNA
Rfam family: Bacterial small subunit ribosomal RNA
Source: RNAcentral